Molecule: ribosomal RNA, 281 nt
Filed under: uncultured bacterium
Lineage: Bacteria
Description: partial 16S ribosomal RNA
Rfam family: Bacterial small subunit ribosomal RNA
Source: RNAcentral
CCUACGGGACGCAGCAGUGGGGAAUAUUGCACAAUGGGGGGAACCCUGAUGCAGCAACGCCGCGUGAAUGAAGACGGUUUUCGGAUUGUAAACUUCUGUUCCUAGUGAAGAAUAAUGACGGUACCUAACGAGCAAGCCACGGCUAACUACGUGCCAGCAGCCGCGGUAAUACGUAGGUGGCAAGCGUUAUCCGGAAUUACUGGGUGUAAAGGGAGCGCAGACGGCAAGCCAAGUCUGGUGUGAAAGCCAGGGGCUUAACUUGUAGACUGCUGUGGAAACUG